CCCCUCUCUCUCGUUUUCGUUUCUCUUGAUUUCGAAAAAGCUGAGGUUUGGACUGGUUUCUCUCUUGCUUUCAUUUCUUUUACAGUUUCAUCCAUCAUCUCUUCGUUUCAUUUCUUUUACAAUUUUAUCCAUCAUCUAUUCGAUUGGUUUCUCGAUUUCGUUUCUUUUACACUUUUGUCUAUCUUGGUUUCGAAAAAGCUUUGGUUUUGUUUCUCUCCCGCUCAUAUCGUAGCAAAGUCUCAGAUUUGUGUCGCUUACCGUCAUUGUUGAUCAGUUGCCGCAACCCACGCCAUCCUCAGCUGCUACCCACAUUUCAGCAUCGAAUUUGUUUUUUAGCUACAUUAUGAGAUUAGCAACCUUGCCAAAGAUGCAUGCAAACCUCUAGACAAGCUGGUGCACAGAUAUAAGUACGAGCUCUCCAACCUCACAUUUCCACUAUCCACUUGUGAACUAAAGAUAUUAUAACGUAAAGCAAAAAAGAAUGCUAGUUGAGAUGGUGCAACAACAACGUAAGGUAGAGCUGGGAAUCUAAAAACGAUGUUCUGUUGGGGUGAUUUUGUAUAAGCUGAAGAUGCAUUUCUUUUUGUAUUUGGGAGUGAUUGUAGGAAGGUGAAGUUGCAUUUCUUUUAUGUAUUUGGGAGUGGGUUGACUAAAGAAACUUGUUGAACUCAUGAACUCUGUCACUCUUGUUCAGAAAAAUAUUUUUAUAUAUUUUAUGAAAAAAUAUCUGCACAAUGGCUA
This is a long non-coding RNA of Juglans regia (Persian walnut), 741 nucleotides long. RefSeq lists it as uncharacterized. The transcript has 3 exons. NCBI's taxonomy places the organism in Eukaryota, Viridiplantae, Streptophyta, Magnoliopsida, Fagales, Juglandaceae. The record is from RefSeq and is a predicted model, not a curated record.